Roridomyces roridus is the source of this 80-nucleotide non-coding RNA. NCBI's taxonomy places the organism in Eukaryota, Fungi, Basidiomycota, Agaricomycetes, Agaricales, Mycenaceae. The record is from the annotation of a GenBank genome assembly.
GGCUGCGUAGUGUAACGGUUAUCACAUCAGAUUCUGACUUUCCUUUUCUGGGGACCCCGGUUCGACUCCGGGCGCGGCCU